GAUGAACGCUGACAGAAUGCUUAACACAUGCAAGUCGACUGGAAUUCUUCUUCGGGAGAUAGUACGGUGGCGGACGGGCGAGUAACGCGUAAAGAAUUUGCCCUUCAGACUGGGACAACUAAUCGAAAGGUUAGCUAAUACCGGAUAUUAUGAGACCUUGGCAUCAAGGGCUUAUGAAAGCUAUAUGCGCUGGAGGAGAACUUUGCGUCCCAUUAGGUAGUUGGUAGGGUAAUGGCCUACCAAGCCGACGAUGGGUAGCCGGCCUGAGAGGGUGAACGGCCACAAGGGGACUGAGACACGGCCCUUACUUCUACGGGAGGCAGCAGUGGGGAAUAUUGGACAAUGGACCAAAAGUCUGAUCCAGCAAUUCUGUGUGCACGAUGAAGGUCUUCGGAUUGUAAAGUGCUUUCAGGUGGGAAGAAGAAAGUGACGGUACCACCAGAAGAAGCGACGGCUAAAUACGUGCCAGCCGCCGCGGUAAU
This 482-nucleotide ribosomal RNA is filed under the name uncultured bacterium. RNAcentral's name for it is "bacterial SSU rRNA". It matches the Rfam family "Bacterial small subunit ribosomal RNA", at positions 28 to 524 of the family's 1533-position model. The record is from RNAcentral.